This 497-nucleotide ribosomal RNA is filed under the name uncultured bacterium. Its description in RNAcentral is "partial 16S ribosomal RNA". It matches the Rfam family "Bacterial small subunit ribosomal RNA", at positions 28 to 507 of the family's 1533-position model. The record is from RNAcentral.
GAUGAACGCUGGCGGCGUGCCUAAUACAUGCCAGUCGAGCGAACGGACGAGAAGCUUGCUUCUCUGAUGUUAGCGGCGGACGGGUGAGUAACACGUGGAUAACCUACCUAUAAGACUGGGAUAACUUCGGGAAACCGGAGCUAAUACCGGAUAAUAUUCUGAACCGCAUGGUUCAAAAGUGAAAGACGGUCUUGCUGUCACUUAUAGAUGGAUCCGCGCUGCAUUAGCUAGUUGGUAAGGUAACGGCUUACCACGGGGACGAUGCCUGGCCGACGUGUGAGGGUGGUCGGCCGCACGGGAGCGGGGACACGGUCCAGAGUCCUACGGGAGGCAGCAGUAGGGAAUCUUCCGCAAUGGGCGGAAGCCUGACGGAGCAACGCCGCGUGAGUGAUGAAGGUCUUCGGAUCGUAAAACUCUGUUAUUAGUGAAGAACAUAUGUGGAAGUAACUGUGCACAUCUUGACGGUACCUAAUCAGAAAGCCACGGCUAACUACGUG